UGGGGAAUUUUGGACAAUGGGCGAAAGCCUGAUCCAGCAAUGCCGCGUGUGUGAAGAAGGCCUUCGGGUUGUAAAGCACUUUUGUCCGGAAAGAAAUCCUUGGCUCUAAUACAGUCGGGGGAUGACGGUACCGGAAGAAUAAGCACCGGCUAACUACGUGCCAGCAGCCGCGGUAAUACGUAGGGUGCAAGCGUUAAUCGGAAUUACUGGGCGUAAAGCGUGCGCAGGCGGUUUGCUAAGACCGAUGUGAAAUCCCCGGGCUCAACCUGGGAACUGCAUUGGUGACUGGCAGGCUAGAGUAUGGCAGAGGGGGGUAGAAUUCCACGUGCAGCAGUGAAAUGCGUAGAGAUGUGGAGGAAUACCGAUGGCGAAGGCAGCCCCCUGGGCCAAUACUGACGCUCAUGCACGAAAGCGUGGGGAGCAAACAGGAUUAGAUACCCUGGUAGUCCACGCCCUAAACGAUGUCAACUAGUUGUUGGGGAUUCAUUUCCUUAGUAACGUAGCUAACGCGUGAAGUUGACCGCCUGGGGAGUACGGUCGCAAGAUUAAAACUCAAAUGAAUUGACGGGGUCAUAGCUGUUUCCU
RNAcentral lists this ribosomal RNA (585 nucleotides) under uncultured bacterium. Its description in RNAcentral is "partial 16S ribosomal RNA". It matches the Rfam family "Bacterial small subunit ribosomal RNA", at positions 355 to 1375 of the family's 1533-position model. The record is from RNAcentral.